AUGAACGCUGGCGGCGUGCCUAAUACAUGCAAGUCGAGCGAACGGACGAGAAGCUUGCUUCUCUGAUGUUAGCGGCGGACGGGUGAGUAACACGUGGAUAACCUACCUAUAAGACUGGGAUAACUUCGGGAAACCGGAGCUAAUACCGGAUAAUAUUUUGAACCGCAUGGUUCAAAAGUGAAAGACGGUCUUGCUGUCACUUAUAGAUGGAUCCGCGCUGCAUUAGCUAGUUGGUAAGGUAACGGCUUACCAAGGCAACGAUGCAUAGCCGACCUGAGAGGGUGAGCGGCCACACUGGAACUGAGACACGGUCCAGACUCCUACGGGAGGCAGCAGUAGGGAAUCUUCCGCAAUGGGCGAAAGCCUGACGGAGCAACGCCGCGUGAGUGAUGAAGGUCUUCGGAUCGUAAAACUCUGUUAUUAGGGAAGAACAUAUGUGUAAGUAACUGUGCACAUCUUGACGGUACCUAAUCAGAAAGCCACGGCUAACUACGUG
Molecule: ribosomal RNA, 496 nt
Filed under: uncultured bacterium
Lineage: Bacteria
Description: partial 16S ribosomal RNA
Rfam family: Bacterial small subunit ribosomal RNA
Source: RNAcentral